AUUGAACGCUGGCGGCAUGCCUUACACAUGCAAGUCGAACGGCAGCACGGGAGCAAUCCUGGUGGCGAGUGGCGAACGGGUGAGUAAAGUAUCGGAACGUGCCCAGUCGUGGGGGAUAACGUAGCGAAAGUUACGCUAAUACCGCAUACGAUCUAUGGAUGAAAGCGGGGGAUCGCAAGACCUCGCGCGAUUGGAGCGGCCGAUAUCAGAUUAGGUAGUUGGUGGGGUAAAGGCUCACCAAGCCGACGAUCUGUAGCUGGUCUGAGAGGACGACCAGCCACACUGGGACUGAGAAACGGCCCAGACUCCUACGGGAGGCAGCAGUGGGGAAUUUUGGACAAUGGGCGAAAGCCUGAUCCAGCCAUGCCGCGUGCGGGAUGAAGGCCUUCGGGUUGUAAACUGCUUUUGUACGGAACGAAAAGGUUUGGCCUAAUAAGCUGAGCUCAUGACGGUACCGUAAGAAUAAGCACCGGCUGACUACGUGCCAGCCGCCGCAGUAA
Molecule: ribosomal RNA, 500 nt
Filed under: uncultured bacterium
Lineage: Bacteria
Description: partial 16S ribosomal RNA
Rfam family: Bacterial small subunit ribosomal RNA
Source: RNAcentral